UCGGGAAUUUUGGGCAAUGGGCGAAAGCCUGACCCAGCAACGCCGCGUGAAGGAUGAAGUAUUUCGGUAUGUAAACUUCGUAAGAAUAGGAAGAAUAAAUGACGGUACUAUUUGUAAGGUCCGGCUAACUACGUGCCAGCAGCCGCGGUAAUACGUAGGGACCAAGCGUUGUUCGGAUUUACUGGGCGUAAAGGGCGCGUAGGCGGUGUGUCAAGUCAGUUGUGAAAUCUCCGAGUUUAACUCGGAACGGUCAACUGAUACUGUCACACUAGAGUACAGAAGGGGCAAUCGGAAUUCUUGGUGUAGCGGUGAAAUGCGUAGAUAUCAAGAGGAACACCUGAGGCGAAGGCGGGUUGCUGGGCUGAUACUGACGCUGAGGCGCGAAAGCUAGGGUAGCAAACGGGAUUAGAUACCCCCGUAGUCCCUGAGCGGGCUGGCAAGGCGCAU
This 447-nucleotide ribosomal RNA is filed under the name uncultured bacterium. RNAcentral's name for it is "bacterial SSU rRNA". It matches the Rfam family "Bacterial small subunit ribosomal RNA", at positions 355 to 825 of the family's 1533-position model. The record is from RNAcentral.